Molecule: long non-coding RNA, 1402 nt
Organism: Acinonyx jubatus (cheetah)
Lineage: Eukaryota; Metazoa; Chordata; Mammalia; Carnivora; Felidae
Exons: 3
Source: RefSeq, a predicted model, not a curated record
GCAGAGAGAGAGGGAGGUGCAGAAUCCUAAGCAGGCUCCAAGCUCUGAGCUGUCCACACAGAGCCCAACGUAGGGCUCGAACUCACAAACUGCGAGAUCAUGACCUGAGCCAAAGCCAGAUUCCCAACCGACUGAGCCACCCAAGCACCCCAGAAGUUAUUAAGUUUAAACGAGGUCAUAAAGUUUAAAUGAGGUCAUAAGAAUGGGGCCCUGAUCCCAAAUGACUGGUGUCCUUGUAGAAAGUGAGAGACGCUGGGGAUGUACGCACAGAGAAAAGGCUAUGUGAGAACGCCAUGAGACGGCAGUUUACCGCAAGGAAAGAGGUCUUAUGAGAAACCUGCCCUUGGACUUGCCGGCACCCUGCCCUUGGACUUGCAGCCCCCAGAACUGUGAGAAAGCAAAUUUCUGUUAUUUAAUACAACCCAGUCUGUGGUAUUUUGUUAUAGCAGCAGGCUAAUGCGGCAGAUAACAAGCAAACAAGUAAAUAUAUAAUGUCAGGGAAUGAUAAGGGAGCACUUUGAAGAACAGUGGAGCAAGGUCUUUGCUGUCCAAUAGAGAAGAUGCUGGAGGAGAGCAAGUGUGGAAACACAGAGACCAAUUAGGAAGCUGCCGAGACCGAGCGCGAGCAGGGGAGGGGCAGAGAGAGGGAGACACAGAAUCUGAAGCAGGCUCCAGGCUCCGAGCUGUCACAACAGAGCCCGACACGGGGCUUGAACUCAAGGCUGCGAGAUCAUGACCUGAGCCGAAGUCAGCCGCCCAACCGACUGAGCCGCCCAGGAGCCCCCUGAAUCGUAUUUUUAAAUAUACUAUGGGAGCUUGUUAUAAAGAAAAAGUAAAACUCUAAUAAUUUUUUGAAGCCCUGCAUAAUUCUGUAAUACAAAUGACAUUCUAAUUCAUUUCUUUGCAAAUUCAGAUUUUAAUGUGGCACAAUCGAUGUGUCUCAGGUGGAACGGAAUUGGAUUUUCUUUUUUCUUUUCAAGUUUAUUUAUUUUGAGAGACAGAAAGAACACACGCAGGUGAGGGGGGGAGAGGAGGAGACAGAAUGCCAAGCAGGCUCUGUGCCAUCAGGGCCAUCUGUGCCCGAUGUGGGGCUUGAACUCACAUACUCCAAGAUCAUGACCUGAGCCAAGAUCAAGAGUCCGAUGUUUAACCGACUGAGGCACCCGGGCACCCCCAGAACUGAAUUUGCUAAUGACUGAAUUUCUGCGAUACGAUAGAUACUGUUUUGUUUUUUCUUUUGUUUUUUAAUUUUUUUUAACGUUUAUUCAUUUUUGAGACAGAGAGAGACAGAGCAUGAGUGGGGGAAGGGCAGAGAGAGAGGGAGACACAGAAUCUGAAACAGGCUCCAGGCUCUAAGCGGUCAGCCCAGAGCCCGACGCGGGGCUCGAACUCGCGGACCACG